Molecule: unclassified non-coding RNA, 252 nt
Filed under: uncultured fungus
Lineage: Eukaryota; Fungi
Description: partial contains 5.8S ribosomal RNA, internal transcribed spacer 2, and large subunit ribosomal RNA
Source: RNAcentral
AACGCACAUUGCGCCCUCUGGUAUUCCGGGGGGCACGCCCGUCCGAGCGUCAUCUCUACCAUCCAGCCCGGCUGGGUCUUGAGCCGCGGGCGACCUCGCGUCGCCCGCCCUCCAAAUCGCUCGGCCGCCCGGCCGCGUCGGGGCGUCAGGACGGAUCACCGUUCGCCCACGAUGCGCCGUCCGCGGUGGCCGCUGUCGGAAAUCAUUCACAAGGUGGACCUCGGAUCGGGCGGGGAUACCCGCUGAACUUAA